Molecule: ribosomal RNA, 330 nt
Filed under: uncultured eukaryote
Lineage: Eukaryota
Description: partial 18S ribosomal RNA
Rfam family: Eukaryotic small subunit ribosomal RNA
Source: RNAcentral
CCCUUAGAUGUUCUGGGCCGCACGCGUGCUACACUGAUGCAUUCAACGAGUCUAAAACCUGGUCUGAUCGGGCUGGGUAAUCUUUUGAAAGUGCAUCGUGAUUGGGAUAGAUGAUUGCAAUUCUUCAUCUUCAACGAGGAAUGCCUAGUAAACGCAAGUCAUCAGCUUGCAUUGAUUACGUCCCUGCCCUUUGUACACACCGCCCGUCGCUCCUACCGAUUGAAUGAUCCGAUGAAUACCAUGGAUUGAGAGUACGAAUAGGUUCGCUUAUUUCUGCUGCUCGAGAAGUGGAGUAAAUCUUAUCAUUUAGAGGAAGGAGAAGUCGUAACA